RNAcentral lists this ribosomal RNA (757 nucleotides) under Rhizophagus cf. intraradices HG-2010. Its description in RNAcentral is "eukaryotic LSU rRNA". It matches the Rfam family "Eukaryotic large subunit ribosomal RNA", at positions 38 to 648 of the family's 3401-position model. The record is from RNAcentral. Lineage: Eukaryota; Fungi; Glomeromycota; Glomeromycetes; Glomerales; Glomeraceae.
GCAUAUCAAUAAGCGGAGGAAAAGAAAAUAACAAUGAUUCCUCUAGUAACUGCGAGUGAAGAGGGAAAAGCUCAAAUUUUAAAUCUGUUAGGUUUACCUAACCGAGUUGUAAUUUGAAGAAGCGUUUUCUGCGAAUUUGGUUAGUCCAAAUCCUUUGGAAUAAGGUAUCAUGGAGGGUGAGAAUCCCGUUCGGUUAACCAAAGCGCUUUACGAUACGCUUUCAAAGAGUCAAGUUGUUUGGGAUUGCAGCUUAAAAUGGGAGGUAAAUUUCUCCUAAGGCUAAAUAUUGGCGAGAGACCGAUAGCGAACAAGUACCGUGAGGGAAAGAUGAAAAGAACUUUGAAAAGAGAGUUAAACAGUACGUGAAAUUGUUGAAAGGGAAACGAUUAAAGUCAGUCGUACCUACGAGUGAUCAACCUACUCGAGUGCGAUUUUGUGGGUAUGUUUGAGCUUAAAAACCUUCAUGCUUACAAAUUGGUACUCUUUGGGCGUACUUUCUCGUAUGGUAAGUUAACAUCAAUUUUGAUCAUUAUAAAAUGACUGGAGCAAUGUAGCUUCAAUCUCGGUUGAAGUGUUAUAGCCUUUGGUAGAUGUAAUGAUUGGAUUGAGGACUUGCGGCGGAUACCCUCUGGGCUAUUCGUCUGAUUUGGAAGUUACCUUGGUGUCGAAAGCGUGCUUACGAUAUUAAGGUUGACGGCCAAUAGGUUAGAACAUGAUUAAAUUCGUUAAGGAUGUUGACGUAAUGGCUUUAAUCGAC